Molecule: ribosomal RNA, 592 nt
Filed under: Mesocriconema sphaerocephalum
Lineage: Eukaryota; Metazoa; Nematoda; Chromadorea; Rhabditida; Criconematidae
Description: SSU rRNA
Rfam family: Eukaryotic small subunit ribosomal RNA
Source: RNAcentral
CUGACCGUAAACGAUGCCAACUAGCGAUCCGCCGGUGGCUUCUAGGCCCUGGUGGGGAGCUUCCCGGAAACGAAAGUCUUCCGGUUCCGGGGGAAGUAUGGUUGCAAAGCUGAAACUUAAAGGAAUUGACGGAAGGGCACCACCAGGUGUGGAUCCUGCGGCUUAAUUUGACUCAACACGGGAAAACUCACCCGGCCCGGACACCGUGAGGAUUGACAGAUUGAUAGCUUUUUCAUGAUUCGGUGGUUGGUGGUGCAUGGCCGUUCUUAGUUCGUGGAUCGAUUUGUCUGGUUUAUUCCGAUAACGAGCGAGACUCCAGCCUACUAACUAGUGCAGGCAUUGCUUCUGUGCCUUUCGCACUUCUUAGAGGGAUUGGCUGCGUCUAGCGGCACGAAACGGAGCAAUAACAGGUCUGUGAUGCCCUUAGAUGUCCGGGGCUGCACGCGCGCUACACUGGCAAAGGCAACGUGCUUGUCCGUCUCCGAGAGGAGCCGGUAAACCCUUGAAAGUUUGCCGUGAUUGGGAUCGGAGAUUGCAAUUAUUUUCCGUGAACGAGGAAUACCUAGUAAGUGCGAGUCAUCAGCUCGCGUUG